Molecule: ribosomal RNA, 546 nt
Filed under: uncultured delta proteobacterium
Lineage: Bacteria; Deltaproteobacteria
Description: SSU rRNA
Rfam family: Bacterial small subunit ribosomal RNA
Source: RNAcentral
CAGCUAGUUGGUAGGGUAAUGGCCUACCAAGGCUAAGACGGGUAGCUGGUCUGAGAGGAUGAACAGCCACACUGGAACUGAGACACGGUCCAGACUCCUACGGGAGGCAGCAGUGGGGAAUCUUGCGCAAUGGGCGAAAGCCUGACGCAGCGACGCCGCGUGAGCGAUGAAGGCCUUCGGGUUGUAAAGCUCUGUGGGGAGGAAAGAAUAAGGGUUGGCUAAUAUCCAGCUCGAUGACGGUACCUCCUUAGCAAGCACCGGCUAACUCUGUGCCAGCAGCCGCGGUAAGACAGAGGGUGCAAACGUUGUUCGGAAUUACUGGGCGUAAAGCGCGUGUAGGCGGCUCUGUAAGUCGGGUGUGAAAUCCCACGGCUCAACCGUGGAAGUGCAUUCGAAACUACAGGGCUAGAGUCCUGGAGAGGAAGGUGGAAUGCUUGGUGUAGAGGUGAAAUUCGUAGAUAUCAAGCGGAACACCGGUGGCGAAGGCGGCCUUCUGGACAGUGACUGACGCUGAGACGCGAAAGCGUGGGGAGCAAACAGGAUUAG